RNAcentral lists this ribosomal RNA (253 nucleotides) under uncultured bacterium. Its description in RNAcentral is "partial 16S ribosomal RNA". It matches the Rfam family "Bacterial small subunit ribosomal RNA", at positions 524 to 776 of the family's 1533-position model. The record is from RNAcentral.
GACGAACCGUGCGAACGUUGUUCGGAAUCACUGGGCUUAAAGGGCGCGUAGGCGGGCUGUCAAGUCUGGGGUGAAAUCCCACGGCUCAACCGUGGAACUGCCUCGGAUACUGACGGCCUUGAGGGGGGUAGGGGCGUGCGGAACUGUGGGUGGAGCGGUGAAAUGCGUUGAUAUCCACAGGAACUCCGGUGGCGAAGGCGGCACGCUGGACCUCUUCUGACGCUGAGGCGCGAAAGCCAGGGGAGCAAACGGG